AAUAGGGUCUGAUAAUGGACCGGCGUUCGUGGCCCAGGUAAAUCAGGGGUUAGCCAGGACCCUGGGGAUUAAUUGGAAGUUACAUUGUGCUUAUAGACCCCAGAGCUCAGGACAGGUAGAAAGAAUGAAUAGAACCAUUAAAGAGACCUUAACGAAAUUAAGCUUAGAGACCGGCAUAAAAGACUGGACUAUGCUCCUGCCUUAUGCACUGUUUCAUGCAAGAAAUAUUCCCUCUGUUUCUUUGUGUAACCUCACCCUCUAUGAAAUUCUCUAUGGUGCCCCUCCUCCAAUAAGGGACCUAACCCCAACUCUAAGACCUAACGAUUCCUUUCACACCCCCUUGCUUGACAGACUUAAAGCUCUUGAAAGAACCCAGUGAUACCUGUGGAAACAGCUGGCCACUGCCUACCAACCUGGGGACGAAGGGACUCCACACCAAUAUCAAGUGGGAGACUUCGUCUAUGUAAGGUGACAUCAGGUGUCAUCCCUGGAACCCUGCUGGAAAGGACCAUACCAGGUGCUACUUAUAACACCUACAGCAGUAAAGGUAGACGGAAUCACUUCCUGGAUCCAUGCCUCUCAUCUCAAGCCUGCACCCUGUCCAGACUCUGGCUGGAAAUUGAAAAAGACUGGUAACCCUCUCAAAUUGCAUAUUUGCCAUGUGGAUAGGGCUAUGGACUCUCCCCUUGACCACCAGUAGUCCUAACCCUCAUCAGCCCGUUCAGCAGCGAUGGCUGAUCACAAAUCCUACUGGACAGGAAGUAUGGUCUAUCUCGCAUACAGCCCCCUUAGGGACCUGGUGGCCAUCUCUCCACCCAGACAUUUGUCAGUUGGCUAUGGGUCUUUCCUAUUGGGAUAUCCCUGAUGAAGAGGAUCCCACUAAAAUUUCAUUAAAUCCCUUCCGCACCAUAGAUAAUGGAAACAAACAUUAUGGAUGUAGAGACAUGCAAGCCAGAUGUAGGUUGGCUAGCCUAGAUUACUAUGUUUGCCCGGCGGACUAUGGAAGCCGCAAACAGUCACGGCUGUGUGGGGGAAAAGCUGACUUCUUCUGUAAGUCAUGGGGAUGUGCGCAUACAGGGGCUGCCUGGUGGAACCCAAACUCCCCUGAUAGUCUGAUUCGGGUAGGAAGAAAUAAUACUAAGUUAAGUCCCAAACAAUGUCUCCCAUUUAAAUGGCACCCCCAAACGGGGACUUCUGGACUAGCUGACCCUACUCCAUGUGACACAAGUAGCCUAUGUAACCCCCUAAAUAUAACCUUCACCUCCAAAGGAAGAAAUGGAAAUAUCUGGACAUGGCUUUCAGGAAAAACCUAUGGAAUGCGAUUUUACACCACAGGAUAUGAUUUUGGCCUUUGGUUCACUAUCCAGUUUGAAAGAAAAGAAAUUCCCUUAGCCAUAGAGACCAAUCCCCUCAAGCCAGGAAUUAGGCCUCAUAGACCUCCUGAACCUAAAUCUACUAGGGUCCCUUCACUUUCCCAUACUCCUCAAGUUUCACCUUCGUUUACUUCCCCA
Molecule: long non-coding RNA, 1511 nt
Filed under: Marmota monax (woodchuck)
Lineage: Eukaryota; Metazoa; Chordata; Mammalia; Rodentia; Sciuridae
Source: RNAcentral